CUCCUACGGGAGGCAGCAGUCGGGAAUUUUGCUCAAUGGGCGAAAGCCUGAAGCAGCAACGCCGCGUGAGGGAUGAAGGCCUUCGGGUUGUAAACCUCUUUUUCCAGGGACGAUAAUGACGGUACCUGAAGAAUAAGUCACGGCUAACUACGUGCCAGCAGCCGCGGUAAUACGUAGGUGACAAGCGUUGUCCGGAUUUACUGGGCGUAAAGAGCGCGCAGGCGGUCGUUCGAGUCGAGUGUGAAAGCCCCCGGCUCAACUGGGGAGGGUCAUUCGAUACUGAUCGACUCGAAGGCAGGAGAGGGAAGCGGAAUUCCCGGUGUAGUGGUGAAAUGCGUAGAUAUCGGGAGGAACACCAGUGGCGAAGGCGGCUUCCUGGUCUGCUUCUGACGCUAAGAGGCGAAAGCUAGGGGAGCGAACGGGAUUAGAAACCCCGGUAGUCCUAGCCAUAAACGAUGGAUACUAGGUGUUGGUGGUCCUAACCCCAUCAGUGCCGAAGCUAACGCGUUAAGUGUCCCGCCUGGGGAGUACGGCCGCAAGGCUGAAACUCAAAGGAAUUGACGG
RNAcentral lists this ribosomal RNA (564 nucleotides) under uncultured bacterium. RNAcentral describes it as "bacterial SSU rRNA". It matches the Rfam family "Bacterial small subunit ribosomal RNA", at positions 336 to 916 of the family's 1533-position model. The record is from RNAcentral.